CCUACGGGAGGCAGCAGUGAGGAAUAUUGAGCAAUGGGCGCAAGCCUGACUCAGCAACGCCGCGUGGAUGAAGAAGGCCUUCGGGUUGUAAAAUCCUUUUCUGCGGGACGAUGAUGACGGUACCGCAGGAAUAAGUUCCGGCUAACUACGUGCCAGCAGCCGCGGUAAAACGUAGGGGACAAGCGUUAUCCGGAUUUACUGGGCGUAAAGCGCCCGUAGGCGGCUAGCCAAGUUGGCUGUGAAAGCUCCCGGCUUAACUGGGAGAGGUCAGUCAAAACUGGUUAGCUGGAGGCUGGAAGAGGAGAGCGGAAUUCCCGGUGUAGUGGUGGAAUGCGUAGAGAUCGGGAGGAACACCAGUGGCGAAAGCGGCUCUCUGGUUCAGCCCUGACGCUGAGGGGCGAAAGCGUGGGGAGCGAACGGGAUUAGAUACCCUUGUAGUC
This 440-nucleotide ribosomal RNA is filed under the name uncultured bacterium. Its description in RNAcentral is "bacterial SSU rRNA". It matches the Rfam family "Bacterial small subunit ribosomal RNA", at positions 338 to 795 of the family's 1533-position model. The record is from RNAcentral.